CCUACGGGCGGCAGCAGUGGGGAAUAUUGCACAAUGGGGGAAACCCUGAUGCAGCAACGCCGCGUGAGUGAAGAAGUAUUUCGGUAUGUAAAGCUCUAUCAGCAGGGAAGAGAAAAGCAGGUACAUGAAAAACAAGCCCCGCCUAACUACGAGCCAGCAGCAGCGGUAAAACUGAGGGGGCAAGCGCUAUCCGGAUUUACUGGGGGUAAAGGGAUCGUAGAGGGAAAGGUAAGUCAGAAGUGAAACCCCAAGGCUAAACCAUGGAACUGCUUUUGAAACUGUCAGACUAGAGGACGGGAGAGGUAGGCGGAAUGCCUGGUGUAGCGGUGAAAUGCGUAGAUAUUAGGAGGAACACCAGUGGCGAAGGCGUCUUACUGGACCGAAACUGACGUUGAGGCUCGAAAGCGUGGGGAGCAAACAGGAUUAGAUACCCGUGUAGUC
RNAcentral lists this ribosomal RNA (441 nucleotides) under uncultured bacterium. RNAcentral describes it as "partial 16S ribosomal RNA". It matches the Rfam family "Bacterial small subunit ribosomal RNA", at positions 338 to 795 of the family's 1533-position model. The record is from RNAcentral.